RNAcentral lists this unclassified non-coding RNA (356 nucleotides) under Hevea brasiliensis (rubber tree). Lineage: Eukaryota; Viridiplantae; Streptophyta; Magnoliopsida; Malpighiales; Euphorbiaceae. The record is from RNAcentral.
GUGGAUUAAGAGAACCAAAAACAUUUGACAAUUUUGGGCACCCAUUAAACCUCAACUUUUUGAGCUUCAUCAUGGACAGGGACAUUUCAUAAGGUAGCUCACCUUUGCAUAAUCCUUUUAGGGCUUUCAAAUAUGAAAGCGACAAUGUUUCCAGGUCCACCAAACAAGUUCCCUGCUGCUGCUGUGUUGUGGGUAGAAUCUCCCAUUCUUCAGCAUUGAUCAAGUACUCGAGCUUGGAGCAGUAGCUGAUAUACAGAGAUCUCAAGACAGCUAAACUAUCUCUUAGAUCUCUCUCUGAGAAUAGUAGGGGAAAGAUAUUUCUUAACCCUUUGAGUUUAGAUAGAGAGAGAUCAUUU